UACAGAGGGUGCGAGCGUUAAUCGGAAUUACUGGGCGUAAAGGGCGCGUAGGCGGAUAUUUAAGUUAUAGGUGAAAUCCCCGGGCUUAACCUGGGAACUGCCUAUAAUACUGGAUGUCUAGAGUAGAGUAGAGGGAAGCGGAAUUUCCGGUGUAGCGGUGAAAUGCGUAGAUAUCGGAAAGAACAUCAGUGGCGAAGGCGGCUUUCUGGACUCAUACUGACGCUGAGGCGCGAGAGCGUGGGGAGCAAACAGG
Molecule: ribosomal RNA, 253 nt
Filed under: uncultured bacterium
Lineage: Bacteria
Description: partial 16S ribosomal RNA
Rfam family: Bacterial small subunit ribosomal RNA
Source: RNAcentral